This 253-nucleotide ribosomal RNA is filed under the name uncultured bacterium. RNAcentral's name for it is "partial 16S ribosomal RNA". It matches the Rfam family "Bacterial small subunit ribosomal RNA", at positions 524 to 776 of the family's 1533-position model. The record is from RNAcentral.
UACGUAGGGAGCAAGCGUUGUCCGGAAUCAUUGGGCGUAAAGCGCGCGUAGGUGGCCUCAUAAGUCCGCUGUGAAAGUCAAAGGCUCAACCUUUGAAAGCCGGUGGAUACUGUGGGGCUAGAGUACGGAAGAGGCGAGUGGAAUUCCAGGUGUAGCGGUGAAAUGCGUAGAUAUCUGGAGGAACACCUAUGGCGAAGGCAGCUCGCUGGGACGUUACUGACGCUGAGACGCGAAAGCGUGGGGAGCAAACAGG